CACGUAGGGCGCAAGCGUUGUCCGGAAUCAUUGGGCGUAAAGAGCUCGUAGGCGGUCUGUCGCGUCUGCUGUGAAAAUCCAGGGCUUAACCCUGGGCCUGCAGUGGAUACGGGCAGACUAGAGGCAGGUAGGGGAGAAUGGAAUUCCCGGUGUAGCGGUGAAAUGCGCAGAUAUCGGGAGGAACACCGGUGGCGAAGGCGGUUCUCUGGGCCUGACCUGACGCUGAGGAGCGAAAGCGUGGGGAGCGAACAGG
This 253-nucleotide ribosomal RNA is filed under the name uncultured bacterium. Its description in RNAcentral is "partial 16S ribosomal RNA". It matches the Rfam family "Bacterial small subunit ribosomal RNA", at positions 524 to 776 of the family's 1533-position model. The record is from RNAcentral.